Molecule: ribosomal RNA, 832 nt
Filed under: Staphylococcus epidermidis
Lineage: Bacteria; Bacillati; Bacillota; Bacilli; Caryophanales; Staphylococcaceae
Description: bacterial SSU rRNA
Rfam family: Bacterial small subunit ribosomal RNA
Source: RNAcentral
CUAUACAUGCAAGUCGAGCGAACAGACGAGGAGCUUGCUCCUCUGACGUUAGCGGCGGACGGGUGAGUAACACGUGGAUAACCUACCUAUAAGACUGGGAUAACUUCGGGAAACCGGAGCUAAUACCGGAUAAUAUAUUGAACCGCAUGGUUCAAUAGUGAAAGACGGUUUUGCUGUCACUUAUAGAUGGAUCCGCGCCGCAUUAGCUAGUUGGUAAGGUAACGGCUUACCAAGGCAACGAUGCGUAGCCGACCUGAGAGGGUGAUCGGCCACACUGGAACUGAGACACGGUCCAGACUCCUACGGGAGGCAGCAGUAGGGAAUCUUCCGCAAUGGGCGAAAGCCUGACGGAGCAACGCCGCGUGAGUGAUGAAGGUCUUCGGAUCGUAAAACUCUGUUAUUAGGGAAGAACAAAUGUGUAAGUAACUAUGCACGUCUUGACGGUACCUAAUCAGAAAGCCACGGCUAACUACGUGCCAGCAGCCGCGGUAAUACGUAGGUGGCAAGCGUUAUCCGGAAUUAUUGGGCGUAAAGCGCGCGUAGGCGGUUUUUUAAGUCUGAUGUGAAAACCCACGGCUCAACCGUGGAGGGUCAUUGGAAACUGGAAAACUUGAGUGCAGAAGAGGAAAGUGGAAUUCCAUGUGUAGCGGUGAAAUGCGCAGAGAUAUGGAGGAACACCAGUGGCGAAGGCGACUUUCUGGUCUGUAACUGACGCUGAUGUGCGAAAGCGUGGGGAUCAAACAGGAUUAGAUACCCUGGUAGUCCACGCCGUAAACGAUGAGUGCUAAGUGUUAGGGGGUUUCCGCCCCUUAGUGCUGCAGCUAACGCAUUA